UGCAAGUAAGCAACACCCUUCUAAUAAUUAAUCAAGUAACGGCUCGAUUCCACUGACGUCCCCCCUUUCUCCCUCUCCAUGGCGUUCCCAAUAUACUGAUCUUCCCACCAUUUCAGAAGCCUAACCGGAAAAGGAAAAAAAAAAAAAAAAAAAAAAAAAAAAAGAGGAAAAAAAGGCCAGUUGUUAGGAUGAACAAUCAAAUCAAAUUCACAAUUCUCUCGGCGAAUUACGAGCGAGGGAUUUUACUUUCGUGAAUCGAAUUCAGAAUGACGGCGGCUCAUCUUCUGGGUAAAUCAUUACGUGCUGUUGAUCUUCGAUUGCCGAUGAAUUCGUUAAUAAAAAGAGAAAAUUGUUCGAUUGGACGAAGCUGGUACAAAGCAUGGUUCGUAUGGCGACUUCUUCCAUCACUAUCCACAGAUUGAAGUUUACAUUUGCUCGUUUGGAGUCUCAGUAUUAGGCCGUCCGGUUAUCAAUAUUGGACUACAUUGGGUUAAGCAGUACUGAUUAACUAAUUAUUUAGUUAAUAAGAUUUCCGGUUCCUUAGAUUAGAUCUUAUACUACAUUAACAUAUUCUUGUACUAUAUAUGUGAUUUCUUUAUAAAACCUCUUCCUUAACAAAAUUACGAUAUAGUUUUAAGGAUAAAAUGGUCUUUCCGCUUUUCUUUUUAA
Erythranthe guttata (spotted monkey flower) is the source of this 669-nucleotide long non-coding RNA. RefSeq lists it as uncharacterized. The record is from RefSeq and is a predicted model, not a curated record. Lineage: Eukaryota; Viridiplantae; Streptophyta; Magnoliopsida; Lamiales; Phrymaceae.